This is a long non-coding RNA of Chenopodium quinoa (quinoa), 744 nucleotides long. RefSeq lists it as uncharacterized. The transcript has 2 exons. The record is from RefSeq and is a predicted model, not a curated record. NCBI's taxonomy places the organism in Eukaryota, Viridiplantae, Streptophyta, Magnoliopsida, Caryophyllales, Amaranthaceae.
GACUCAUCAGACGGUCUACAUUAGACCCGCUUCAUUAAGGGUAUUAUCGUAAUAAUUCGCUUUGAAUGACUACCUAGGAUUUCCUCCGUUUCUUUUUUUUCCUCUCUCUGUUUUCUUUAGAUUUUCUCUCUCUUCCUCUAAACUCUCUGUGAAGCGAUUUUCUUUGAUACGCUCUUCGAUUUCUUCCGUUUUGUUCAUCAAUUUCUCGCAUUUUCCUGUUAAGGCUGCAGCUGCUGCUCUGGAGGCCCUGCCAAGCCUGUAGCUGCUGCUCUACCAAUGCUGCCAAGGUUGCUGCUGCAGCUGUUGCCCCGACAUGGCCUGCUGCUGCAGCUGCUGUCCUGCCAUGGCUUGCUACUUCAGCUGCUACUUUUGCCCUGCCAAGGCUGUUGUUGCAACUGCUGCUUUGAUUUUCAUUUUUUGAUUUUAUCUUCUUUUUCAACAUGACCCUUCUCAUUGUGAACAUGGUCCUUUCUGCAUAUAUAAUAGGAUAGUAAUUAAUAUUUUCUUAUUUACUUUUGAGUAUUUUUAUUUACUUUUGUGAUUUUUCAGUAUAUAGCUUAGAAAAUAAAAAACGCUCAGUUGUGUCAACUAAUUAUUCUUACUCUAUAAUAGCCUACUAGCUUAAUAUGUAGAGCAUUGUGCAAGUGCACAAAAGAUGUGGGUUCGAAUCCUACGUAGGUUCUUCUAACGCCUCGAACCAUUGUAAUGUAAUUAUUAUUUUUAUAUACUUUUGAGUUUUUCUAA